UUUUGAAUUCAACUCUUGUUGCUUGCACAC
This 30-nucleotide non-coding RNA is filed under the name Rattus norvegicus (Norway rat). Lineage: Eukaryota; Metazoa; Chordata; Mammalia; Rodentia; Muridae. The record is from RNAcentral.